This 289-nucleotide unclassified non-coding RNA is filed under the name Hevea brasiliensis (rubber tree). The record is from RNAcentral. Lineage: Eukaryota; Viridiplantae; Streptophyta; Magnoliopsida; Malpighiales; Euphorbiaceae.
GGCCCCUUCGGCGCAACAAAUGGAUACUGUGAGCAACAGAAUCCGAACAUGCACCGAAUGAAACAGAAUGACAACACAAGCUUUUACAAUUAAUACAGAGGUUCAAAAUAUUAAUCUCUACAAGUAAAACAGUAUUAUUUUUUCCUUUUCGUAUAGGCUUGGGAUUUAAAAUAUUAUAACUCUGCAUUCAAAGGCAUGGGCUUGGGUAUGAACAUCUCGUAGACUUAUAUCCAAGAAAGAUGUUAUUUAGUUGACAUUGAAGACAUACAGCUUUCAUGUACUUGGUAUA